This 468-nucleotide ribosomal RNA is filed under the name uncultured bacterium. Its description in RNAcentral is "bacterial SSU rRNA". It matches the Rfam family "Bacterial small subunit ribosomal RNA", at positions 30 to 499 of the family's 1533-position model. The record is from RNAcentral.
UGAACGCUAGCGGCAGGCUUAACACAUGCAAGUCGAGGGGUAGAGUCAGCUUGCUGACUUGAGACCGGCGCACGGGUGCGUAACGCGUAUGCAAUCUGCCUUUUACAAAGGGAUAGCCCAGAGAAAUUUGGAUUAAUACCUUAUAGCAUUAUAGGAUGGCAUCAUCUUAUGAUUAAAGAUUUAUCGGUAAAAGAUGAGCAUGCGUCCCAUUAGCUAGUUGGUGAGGUAACGGCUUACCAAGGCUAUGAUGGGUAGGGGUCCUGAGAGGGAGAUCCCCCACACUGGUACUGAGACACGGACCAGACUCCUACGGGAGGCAGCAGUGAGGAAUAUUGGACAAUGGGCGCACGCCUGAUCCAGCCAUGCCGCGUGCAGGAUGAAGCAUCUAUGGUGUGUAAACUGCUUUUAUACGGGAAGAACCCUGGACGUGUCCCAGACUGACGGUACCGUAGGAAUAAGGAUCGGCUA